AACGAACGCUGGCGGCAGGCCUAACACAUGCAAGUCGAGCGCCCUUUCGGGGGAGCGGCGGACGGGUGAGUAACGCGUGGGAAUAUGCCCUUCUCUACGGAAUAGCCUCGGGAAACUGAGAGUAAUACCGUAUACGCCCUGUGGGGGAAAGAUUUAUCGGGGAAGGAUUAGCCCGCGUUGGAUUAGGUAGUUGGUGGGGUAAUGGCCUACCAAGCCGACGUUCCAUAGCUGGUUUGAGAGGAUGAUCAGCCACACUGGGACUGAGACACGGCCCAGACUCCUACGGGAGGCAGCAGUGGGGAAUCUUAGACAAUGGGGGCAACCCUGAUCUAGCCAUGCCGCGUGAGUGAUGAAGGCCUUAGGGUUGUAAAGCUCUUUCAGCUGGGAAGAUAAUGACGGUACCAGCAGAAGAAGCCCCGGCUAACUCCGU
Molecule: ribosomal RNA, 430 nt
Filed under: uncultured bacterium
Lineage: Bacteria
Description: partial 16S ribosomal RNA
Rfam family: Bacterial small subunit ribosomal RNA
Source: RNAcentral